AUGCGUGUGGGAUUUUGCGUGAUACGUCGCGCAGAACGAAACUUAGGAAGGUCUCUAGAUUUUACCGCACCGUAAACGAUUCUGACCUAAAUACACAUGUUUAUGUGGGUCGAAUUCUACAGCUGACUCAAAAACGUUUCAUUCAUACAAUUUUACAAUGGUUUGAUCACCGUGGGUGAUAUCUUGUGCGUGGUGGUAAAAGCUGAAUGAAAUAUUGACGUUUUAAGGUUUUAUCACGUGAGGUAGUUUUUCCAGGCAUUUGAUCAAAGCAUGGGGGGAGAAAAUAACAGUAAAGAAGAGGAGACAGCUACAGAUGAACCCAAGAAGAGGGGUCGAGGAAGACCCCGAAAGGAAAAGAAAGAGGAGCCAGAAGAUGCAGAGCCCAAACCUAAGCGUCCUAGAGGACGACCAAAAGGCAGCUUUAAAACACCUAGACCUACGGAGGUGAAACCCAAGGGACCAAGAGGCAGGCCUCGCAAGGGGACAUUGUGUCUUAGUAUUACCUAACACUGCAUUAAUUAUCUGUAUUUGUACAUAUCUAUACACCAUACAACAAACUGUGUUACAAAUGUGGAGGGAGGGGUACAUAUACUUGAAUGAUAUGUGCUUCAUUGCUUGGGUUGUAACAAGUCAGAAUAGAAACAAAAAGAAAGAAGAAAAGAAUUCAGACCCCAUCCACCCCCACAAAGGAGGAGAAGAAAGAGAAGUGAGAUUGUUGUAGCGUAAAGCAGAGCGUGGAUAACACUGCCUGAAGGACAGUAGCAGUGUGUUCAUUGUGGCCAUUUCAAUGUGUUCAGAAACUCAAUCUGUCUGUAUGUAAUUGUAAUAGUAGAGUAGUUGAUUUUCUAAUUGAAGAUAUAUUACCCAUCCUGCCUCAGUGUUCCGUAUUCCUUUAUCUUGCCUCACUUUUCAUGUUUAUCAUGCAUUUCUUCAUGUAUCGUCAUUUUUAUCAUUAAAUAGGUGCAUGUUUUUA
Molecule: RNA transcript, 973 nt
Organism: Ostrea edulis (European flat oyster)
Lineage: Eukaryota; Metazoa; Mollusca; Bivalvia; Ostreida; Ostreidae
Gene name: high mobility group protein HMGI-C-like
Exons: 5
Source: RefSeq, a predicted model, not a curated record